AGGACGAACGCUGGCGGCGUGCUUAACACAUGCAAGUCGAGCGGAAAGGCCCUUCGGGGUACUCGAGCGGCGAACGGGUGAGUAACACGUGAGCAACCUGCCCUUAGCUCUGGGAUAGCUCCGGGAAAACCGGAAUUAAUACCGGAUACGACCUAGGCCGACAUCGGCCAUGGUGGAAAGUUUUUCGGCUAGGGAUGGACUCGCGGCCUAUCAGCUAGUUGGUGGGGUAAAGGCCUACCAAGGCGACGACGGGUAGCCGGCCUGAGAGGGCGACCGGCCACACUGGGACUGAGACACGGCCCAGACUCCUACGGGAGGCAGCAGUGGGGAAUCUUGCGCAAUGGGCGAAAGCCUGACGCAGCGACGCCGCGUGGGGGAUGAAGGCCUUCGGGUUGUAAACCCCUUUCAGCAGGGACGAAGCGAAAGUGACGGUACCUGCAGAAGAAGCGCCGGCUAACUACGCGCCAGCAGCCGC
This 475-nucleotide ribosomal RNA is filed under the name uncultured bacterium. Its description in RNAcentral is "SSU rRNA". It matches the Rfam family "Bacterial small subunit ribosomal RNA", at positions 26 to 518 of the family's 1533-position model. The record is from RNAcentral.